Molecule: ribosomal RNA, 484 nt
Filed under: uncultured bacterium
Lineage: Bacteria
Description: partial 16S ribosomal RNA
Rfam family: Bacterial small subunit ribosomal RNA
Source: RNAcentral
AUUGAACGCUGGCGGCAGGCCUAACACAUGCAAGUCGAGCGGAUGAAGGGAGCUUGCUCCUGGAUUCAGCGGCGGACGGGUGAGUAAUGCCUAGGAAUCUGCCUGGUAGGGGGGGAUAACGUCCGGAAACGGGCGCUAAUACCGCAUACGUCCUGAGGGAGAAAGUGGGGGAUCUUCGGACCUCACGCUCUCAGAUGAGCCUAGGUCGGAUUAGCUAGUUGGUGGGGUAAAGGCCUACCAAGGCGACGAUCCGUAACUGGUCUGAGAGGAUGAUCAGUCACACUGGAACUGAGACACGGUCCAGACUCCUACGGGAGGCAGCAGUGGGGAAUAUUGGACAAUGGGCGAAAGCCUGAUCCAGCCAUGCCGCGUGUGUGAAGAAGGUCUUCGGAUUGUAAAGCACUUUAAGUUGGGAGGAAGGGCAGUAAGUUAAUACCUUGCUGUUUUGACGUUACCAACAGAAUAAGCACCGGCUAACUUCGUG